CCAUUUUCGUAUAGACUUCUAUCGACUAGCAAUCAUAAACGCCCUUAUGCGUUGUAAAUUAUCAAUCCCCCUUUCACUCUGAUUACAUCAAAUUUUCUACAACACCGCCGCAGCCGCCAACCCUCUUCACUCAACACCGAUGAGGCAGCGUCACAACAGAGCCAUCACGUUGAUGGCAUAUGGUGGCGAAUGCGGUUGUGGUGUGUGGUGGGUUUGCGAUGAAGCGGCGGCGACGUUAAAGCCAUGGAAAGUGUUUGAAAAAUUGUCUACAUUUAACUUUGGAGGAUCGGUUUUGAAGCCAUAAAGUGCGGAAGUUGCAAAGGUAGGACAAUGAGCUCAGAGACACAAGUAAACACUGGGCCUCCCCAAAUUUUUAAAUCAGAUAAAGCGUUGAAAUUGGCUGAGCAAUGGGUUAAUAAUAUGACGAGUUGAAGAGGAUAAACCAACUGGAGUAGAAUCAGAGGGCCGCCCUUCUAGGCUUGGACUAGGUGCAAAAGUUUCACGCCAAUCCAAAUUUCAACCUUCAAAUGAUCCUGUUGAAAGAAAGUUGCAUGCCAGGCUGGAUGCUCACAAAAGAAAAGCAGCGAAAAAUGCUGAGGAGUCUAUGCUGUCUGCUAAAGAUGGACAUGCUGAUGAUGAUGAAGAUGAUUUAGAAAGUAGAACUAGUGCCUUUGAAAAGAAGAGAGCAGUUGCAUCAAUGAAGAAGCAGAAAUAACUUGCACCUCUGAAGAUGAGUGUUUGGAACUGUGCUCAUUUUAUUGUAUAUUACCAUUUUGUGAACUGUGUAACCUGAGACCCAGUGUAUGGAAAACUUAAGCUUUUGCUUCAAGCAAUCGAGGCAUGUUAUUUGGGCUUA
Mangifera indica (mango) is the source of this 856-nucleotide long non-coding RNA. RefSeq lists it as uncharacterized. The record is from RefSeq and is a predicted model, not a curated record. Lineage: Eukaryota; Viridiplantae; Streptophyta; Magnoliopsida; Sapindales; Anacardiaceae. The transcript is spliced from 4 exons.